RNAcentral lists this ribosomal RNA (1013 nucleotides) under Occultibambusa hongheensis. RNAcentral's name for it is "SSU rRNA". It matches the Rfam family "Eukaryotic small subunit ribosomal RNA", at positions 78 to 1099 of the family's 1831-position model. Lineage: Eukaryota; Fungi; Ascomycota; Dothideomycetes; Pleosporales; Occultibambusaceae. The record is from RNAcentral.
ACCGUGAAACUGCGAAUGGCUCAUUAAAUCAGUUAUCGUUUAUUUGAUAGUACCUUACUACUUGGAUAACCGUGGUAAUUCUAGAGCUAAUACAUGCUAAAAACCCCGACUUCGGGAGGGGUGUAUUUAUUAGAUAAAAAACCAAUGCCCUUCGGGGCUCUUUGGUGAUUCAUGAUAACUUAACGGAUCGCAUGGCCUUGCGCCGGCGACGGUUCAUUCAAAUUUCUGCCCUAUCAACUUUCGAUGGUAAGGUAUUGGCUUACCAUGGUUUCAACGGGUAACGGGAGAUUAGGGUUUGACUCCGGAGAGGGAGCCUGAGAAACGGCUACCACAUCCAAGGAAGGCAGCAGGCGCGCAAAUUACCCAAUCCCGACACGGGGAGGUAGUGACAAUAAAUACUGAUACAGGGCUCUUUUGGGUCUUGUAAUCGGAAUGAGUACAAUUUAAACCCCUUAACGAGGAACAAUUGGAGGGCAAGUCUGGUGCCAGCAGCCGCGGUAAUUCCAGCUCCAAUAGCGUAUAUUAAAGUUGUUGCAGUUAAAAAGCUCGUAGUUGAACCUUGGGCCUGGCUGGCCGGUCCGCCUCACCGCGUGUACUGGUCCGGCCGGGCCUUUCCUUCUGGUGAGCCUCAUGCCCUUCACUGGGUGUGUUGGGGAACCAGGACUUUUACUGUGAACAAAUUAGAGUGUUCAAAGCAGGCCUUUGCUCGAAUACAUUAGCAUGGAAUAAUAGAAUAGGACGUGCGGUCCUAUUUUGUUGGUUUCUAGGACCGCCGUAAUGAUUAAUAGGGAUAGUCGGGGGCAUCAGUAUUCAAUUGUCAGAGGUGAAAUUCUUGGAUUUAUUGAAGACUAACUACUGCGAAAGCAUUUGCCAAGGAUGUUUUCAUUAAUCAGUGAACGAAAGUUAGGGGAUCGAAGACGAUCAGAUACCGUCGUAGUCUUAACCGUAAACUAUGCCGACUAGGGAUCGGGCGAUGUUUCUAUCUUGACUCGCUCGGCACCUUACGAGAAAUC